RNAcentral lists this ribosomal RNA (498 nucleotides) under uncultured bacterium. Its description in RNAcentral is "partial 16S ribosomal RNA". It matches the Rfam family "Bacterial small subunit ribosomal RNA", at positions 30 to 523 of the family's 1533-position model. The record is from RNAcentral.
AUUGAACGCUGGCGGCAUGCCUUACACAUGCAAGUCGAACGGUAACAGGCCGCAAGGUGCUGACGAGUGGCGAACGGGUGAGUAAUGCAUCGGAACGUGCCCAGUCGUGGGGGAUAACGCAGCGAAAGCUGUGCUAAUACCGCAUACGAUCUAUGGAUGAAAGCGGGGGACCGUAAGGCCUUGCGCGAUUGGAGCGGCCGAUGUCAGAUUAGGUAGUUGGUGGGGUAAAGGCUCACCAAGCCAACGAUCUGUAGCUGGUCUGAGAGGACGACCAGCCACACUGGGACUGAGACACGGCCCAGACUCCUACGGGAGGCAGCAGUGGGGAAUUUUGGACAAUGGGCGCAAGCCUGAUCCAGCAAUGCCGCGUGCAGGAAGAAGGCCUUCGGGUUGUAAACUGCUUUUGUACGGAACGAAACGGUCUGGGUUAAUACCCUGGGCUAAUGACGGUACCGUAAGAAUAAGCACCGGCUAACUACGUGCCAGCCGCCGCAGUAA